CCCUUAGAUGUUCUGGGCAGCACGCGCGCUACAAUGGUCUUCGCAAACGGAUGCAUUCUCGAAGGAGAAUGCCAAUCUUGGAAUCUAUGCCUUGGUCGGGACAGUUGCUUGCAAUUUUUCGACUCGAACCAGGAAUUCCUUGUAAUCGUGAUUCAUCACAUCACGAUGAAUACGUCCCUGCCCUUUGUACACACCGCCUGUCGCUCCUACCGAUCGAAGAGUUAGGUGAAUUGUUUUGAUCGAUAAGAUUUGACUAUGGUUAACUCUCGUUGUGAAAUUCUGUGAAUCUGACUGUUUAGAGGAAGGAAAAGUCGUAACA
RNAcentral lists this ribosomal RNA (319 nucleotides) under uncultured eukaryote. RNAcentral describes it as "partial 18S ribosomal RNA". It matches the Rfam family "Eukaryotic small subunit ribosomal RNA", at positions 1470 to 1796 of the family's 1831-position model. The record is from RNAcentral.